RNAcentral lists this ribosomal RNA (497 nucleotides) under uncultured bacterium. Its description in RNAcentral is "partial 16S ribosomal RNA". It matches the Rfam family "Bacterial small subunit ribosomal RNA", at positions 28 to 507 of the family's 1533-position model. The record is from RNAcentral.
GAUGAACGCUGGCGGCGUGCUUAAUACAUGCAAGUCGAGCGAACAGAUGCAGAGUUUGCUCCUCUCACGUUAGCGGCGGACGGGUGAGUAACACGUGGAUAACCUACUUCACUUCCUGGUAUAACUUCGGGAAUCCGGCGCUAAUAGCGGAGAAUAUAGUGAUCCGUAUGAUUCUGUAAUGAAAGACGGUUUUGCUGUCACUUAUCGAUGGAUCCGCGCCGCAUUAGCUUGUUGGUAAGGUAACGGCUGACCAAGGCAACGAGGCGUAGCCGACCGGAGAGGGUGAGCGGCCACGCGGGGAUGGAGACACGGACCAGACCCCAGCGGGAGGCAGCAGUAGGGAGUCAGGCGCAAUGGGGGAAAACUUGACGGAGCAACGCCGCGUGAGUGAUGAAGGUCUUCGGAGCGUAAACCUCUGUUAUGAGGGAAGAACAAAUGUGUAAGUAACUAUGCACGUCUUGACGGUACCUAGUCAGAAAGCCACGGCUAACUACGUG